GAUGAACGCUAGCGAUAGGCUUAACACAUGCAAGUCGAGGGGCAGCAUUAUUUUAGCUUGCUAAGAUAGAUGGCGACCGGCGCACGGGUGCGUAACGCGUAUGCAACCUGCCUGUAAUUAGGGAAUAACCCGGUGAAAGUCGGACUAAUACCCUAUAUUCUUCUUUCUCCGCAUGGGGGAGGACGGAAAGAUUUAUUGAUUACAGAUGGGCAUGCGUCCCAUUAGCUGGUUGGUAAGGUAACGGCUUACCAAGGCAACGAUGGGUAGGGGGACUGAGAGGUUGACCCCCCACACUGGUACUGAGACACGGACCAGACUCCUACGGGAGGCAGCAGUGAGGAAUAUUGGUCAAUGGGCGAGAGCCUGAACCAGCCAAGUCGCGUGAAGGACGACGGUUCUAUGGAUUGUAAACUUCUUUUGUAGAGGAAUAAUGGCAGCUACGUGUAGCUGAGAUGCAUUA
This 460-nucleotide ribosomal RNA is filed under the name Porphyromonas endodontalis. RNAcentral's name for it is "bacterial SSU rRNA". It matches the Rfam family "Bacterial small subunit ribosomal RNA", at positions 28 to 477 of the family's 1533-position model. The record is from RNAcentral. Lineage: Bacteria; Pseudomonadati; Bacteroidota; Bacteroidia; Bacteroidales; Porphyromonadaceae.